Molecule: ribosomal RNA, 83 nt
Filed under: Myxococcales bacterium
Lineage: Bacteria; Pseudomonadati; Myxococcota; Myxococcia; Myxococcales
Source: RNAcentral
CCAUCCCGAACUCGGUAGUUAAGACCUCCUGGGCCAAUGGUACUGCACGGGACUCUGUGUGGGAGAGUAGGUCGCUGCCAGGA